Molecule: ribosomal RNA, 253 nt
Filed under: uncultured bacterium
Lineage: Bacteria
Description: partial 16S ribosomal RNA
Rfam family: Bacterial small subunit ribosomal RNA
Source: RNAcentral
UACAGAGGGUGCAAGCGUUAAUCGGAAUUACUGGGCGUAAAGCGUGCGUAGACGGUUACAUAAGUCGGGUGUGAAAGCCCCGGGCUCAACCUGGGAAUUGCAUUCGAGACUGCGUAGCUAGGGUGCGGAAGAGGGAAGCGGAAUUUCCGGUGUAGCGGUGAAAUGCGUAGAGAUCAGGAGGAACACCGGUGGCGAAGGCGGCCCACUGGGCCAGCACUGACGCUGAGGCGCGAAAGCUCGGGGGGCGAACGGG